ACAAUUAUUCAGUUCCUCAGUGUGCGAGUGUGGCUUUUGGGGACAGUCUCCAGGAACUGAAAGGACUUCAAGCUGGGAAGAAGGGCAUCUUCGGUCCCCGGUGCUGCCCGGCUGUGCCUGGACACUCACACCCAGACACACCCAGACACACACCAGACAUGCCUCCUCCUCUCCUCCUCGGGAAGCCCUAGCCUUCUCCCUGAACACUCCUGGGGACCUGCCUGGGAAGUUUAAUCCAUCAACAACUGCAGCUGUAUGAACACAUUGUCUUUGAUGCAACACACAAUGGGUUCCAGAAAAGGAAAACAAAAUACUCUUUAAGAGUGUGCUGCAUUCUGUUUGGAAAUGGAGAGUCUGGGGUUUUCCUAGAUGGGCCAGAACAGGGGUGCUUGUUGCUGUGCCUCUGCUUCGCUUGGUGACUAGAGCUCCUUCCCCUGAGCAUAAAGAUUAAACUGGGGCUUUAGAAUGCACCGCUCCAGAGAGAGGUGGUGAACGAGCAAGGGAAGAUCAGAUUUGUUGGUGAGUCAUCAGCAUCUGAAGGAGGACAUGGCAACAGGUUCCUUCCCGUCAUCCAGCAGAAGGGAGUUAAGAAGAAAAGAAGUUGAGCUGCAGCAUGUCUCGGGUUAGACAUGAGGAGAGUUUUCCAGACUGAGGAAUGUUCGGCCCUGGAAGAGAUCACUGAUGGAGGAUGUGGAAACAUUGCUGAAGAGUGAAUGUGUCUGGCUUUUUACAUGUGGGGAGGAGGAGAACCCUGAAAUUCUAGGGAGCCCCUGGCUGCUUCCGUGGUGAUAACAGUGUUCUGUAUUGUUUGGAAAUUCCUCGUUGUCAGGCUCCCAGGCAUAACAUCUCUUCUUCAGCUGAACUCACUCAGGGUUGCCCUGAUUGGAGGGAGAGCACUGUUUUCAUUUUCUUUUGACCAAUUUCAGUCUCACCAGGCUCUUUCUAGUCUGUGCUUAGGAAAUGCCUCCCGGGGUCACCUCUUCCUUUCCUCCCCUCUCCUUCCGGUGGCACAGAACCAUGCAUUCCAGGGGCUGAACAAUGGCCAUUGAAGGUGUGUCUGGUCCAGUCAGUUUUUUUGUUCUCUUCAUUCAAUGACAUGUAUGUUUGCAGCAGCCAGGGCAGUCCUCCUCCACACGAGGGUGUUGUCAGCAAACCCAGGAAGUCUUGAGAGCCAAGAAAGCCUCAGACACAGGAGGAAGCAGUCAUGGAUCUCCACAGCAAACGUGUUCUCAGUCCACAGGAUGCGAGCAGGGGAAGGCUUCCGGCCUCAGAAGUCACAGAGGGUGUGAAAGCAAGAGUGGCUGCCCCAAGGCUAAAGGCCACCAGCCAGCCACAGCCAGCAGGGAUAUCAAUUCUUAAAAGCUGAACUGGUCACCAGAAAAUGGCUACCCAUUUUCUGAGGUACUUUGGAGGCACAAGGCCUCAAACAUCAGAAAUCUAUCAGAGAAUUUCAAGAAGGACUUUUUUCAUAAGCCACUGAGUUCACAUGCUAGAUAAUAUCGCUGUCCAUCUUGAUAGCUGGCUGACUUCAAAAGUUCCCUGACUUCACCAACUUUCCACUUAUGCAUUAAUAAAUUACUGCCUAGAUGUCAGCUUUCUCUCCAAGGUCUCAAGGUAUCUGGUUUGAAAAGAGCCAUGGGGAAUCUAAACAAACUA
Molecule: long non-coding RNA, 1656 nt
Organism: Canis lupus familiaris (dog)
Lineage: Eukaryota; Metazoa; Chordata; Mammalia; Carnivora; Canidae
Exons: 3
Source: RefSeq, a predicted model, not a curated record